GACGUAGGUGGCGAACGUUAUCCGGAAUUAUUGGGCGUAAAGGGUGCGUAGAUGGCUUAGUAAGUUGGCGGUGGGAAAUCGAGGCUCAACCUCGCGGAAGCCGACAAUACUAUUAAGCUCGAGUACAGGAGAGGUUAAUGGAACUCCAUGUGGAGCGGUAAAAUGCACAGAUAUAUGGAAGAACACCAAUAAAGGCGAAGGCAAUUAACUAUUCUGUUACUGACAUUGAGGCACGAAAGCGUGGGGAGCAAACAGGGAUUAGA
Molecule: ribosomal RNA, 263 nt
Filed under: uncultured bacterium
Lineage: Bacteria
Description: partial 16S ribosomal RNA
Rfam family: Bacterial small subunit ribosomal RNA
Source: RNAcentral